UACGUAGGGUGCGAGCGUUAAUCGGAAUUACUGGGCGUAAAGCGUGCGCAGGCGGCUUUGCAAGACAGAUGUGAAAUCCCCGGGCUCAACCUGGGAACUGCAUUUGUGACUGCAAGGCCAGAGUACGGCAGAGGGGGAUGGAAUUCCGCGUGUAGCAGUGAAAUGUGUAGAUAUGCGGAGGAACACCAAUGGCGAAGGCAAUCCCCUGGGCCUGUACUGACGCUCAUGCACGAAAGCGUGGGGAGCAAACAGG
This 253-nucleotide ribosomal RNA is filed under the name uncultured bacterium. RNAcentral's name for it is "partial 16S ribosomal RNA". It matches the Rfam family "Bacterial small subunit ribosomal RNA", at positions 524 to 776 of the family's 1533-position model. The record is from RNAcentral.